This 223-nucleotide ribosomal RNA is filed under the name uncultured bacterium. Its description in RNAcentral is "partial 16S ribosomal RNA". It matches the Rfam family "Bacterial small subunit ribosomal RNA", at positions 108 to 334 of the family's 1533-position model. The record is from RNAcentral.
AGGGAAUACAUCGGAAUCUACCUUGUCGUGGGGGAUAACGUAGGGAAACUUACGCUAAUACCGCAUACGAACCAUGGUUGAAAGCGGCGGACCGCAAGGCGUCGCGCGAUUGGAUGAGCCGAUGUCCGAUUAGCUAGUUGGCGGGGUAAAGGCCCACCAAGGCGACGAUCGGUAGCUGGUCUGAGAGGAUGAUCAGCCACACUGGAACUGAGACACGGUCCAG